GGUCUUAAACACCAAGGAAAAAUGAAUAGACAUAACUUUGCUGCUUGAUGGCAGUUACAACUUUAUGUGGUGUGUGCUUUUUUGUAGCAUAAUGAGUUUACAUACAUGAUCUCGUAGCUUCAGGCGACAUUCUCACUUCUGCGUUCUUGCUGAUCUUAAAUAUAACAAGAAAACUAUAAACUAUCACUAUAAGUGUAACUAGAUCUCCAACUAAAACGCCGACAAUAAACAACAACAAAAUUUCUAUGGAUGCACUUCAGCAUCAUCGUGCACAGUAGAAGAAAUCAAGAAGCUGCUAAUAAGAUUUGGCAAAUAUUGCAACUUCAUCUGCUGAAUUGCCUGUCAUCAGGCACUUCUUUGGUCCCUCAGGCUGCUCAAAUGGGAAACAUCUAAUGGUUGCACCUGUCUCUUCUUUCACCUUUGAUUCUUCCUCGUCACCAGCUGACCAAGGCCCCCUUGCCCAUUUUCCUUGAGCUAUUGCGUCCUUAAGCUCAUCAUAUGAAGACACAUCCAUAAUGUUACUAUCACGAAAAGUUGUUGCCCUUUCCAAAAGGGAUGAUUGAACCUCAUUCAACUUGUCUUUGACGUAAGCCACCAGGGCGGACGGCUCCAUGGAUAUUCCAAAAACUUUCCCUUGCUUUCCAGGAACA
This 650-nucleotide unclassified non-coding RNA is filed under the name Hevea brasiliensis (rubber tree). Lineage: Eukaryota; Viridiplantae; Streptophyta; Magnoliopsida; Malpighiales; Euphorbiaceae. The record is from RNAcentral.